Molecule: long non-coding RNA, 1571 nt
Filed under: Homo sapiens (human)
Lineage: Eukaryota; Metazoa; Chordata; Mammalia; Primates; Hominidae
Description: HSALNT0338017
Source: RNAcentral
GAACAGAAGGGAGAUAAUAGAUCUUGUAAUCUAGGGAAAUUACAGAGUCCUGCAUUCCAGAGCUGGUCUCCAUUGAAAGUAACUGCACAUCCUAGGAAACUGGUGUCUGCUUUGUUUUGGAUGUUGCAGCUCACAAACCUCUAUCUUCUUUCUAAAUCCCCAAAGUAAAAGGCAAUCUUCCUUUUUUCUACUUGAAAGCUUGUUUUCCCAAUAUACACAGGACUGAAAAGGCAAUUGACACAAACCAAUGGUUUACACUUCAGCCUCAAAAUUUGCAUUUUGAGGAUCUUUGUGGGAUACAUACCAAGGAGAGGAGGAGGUGCGAGCUCCUUGGUCAAGGCCUGUUUGUGGAGACUACUACAGCCCCAUUUCUCACUAGCCCCCAGCACCUGCCCUGUGACUUGCUUGGUGCCAGAUCCUGGGAGAUGGUGUUUCCAGAGCCUCAGAAGCCUGCCACACACUGGGACGGGAAGUCCCUGGCCCUGGGAUAAGACCAAAUUCCAGGCAUCCCAAGUUGGAAUGCUGAAAGAAAGCAUUUUUUAAAGACAAUGUUUCCCAAGGUCUCAUAUCUCUACAGGACACCCAGUUGGGUACUUUGGGUACAAUUUGAUUAAUUGCACUGCUCUAAGAAUUCCACAAUUCCACCUAGACUUGUUACUAGAGGAAGAUAUGACACAAGCUCCAAACAGGAUACCCAGCGAUAACAUUCUUGGAAAGCAAGGGAAUGAGAGCAAGAUGCAUUAUGUCACAAGGAGAAGCUCUGGGCUGGCAUGAGAGCCCACGUGGUAUCUGCACCCUCCAGUUUGCUGCUCUCAGCCUCUUGAAUUCUUCCCAGUAUCUGCUCUGAAUCCCCAGAGCUACAGCUCCUUCGAAAUGGCAUUAGUACAAUCAAUAGAAAUGAGUUGCAUGACUAUGGAAAUGAGAGUGACCUUGGGUCAUGUAGCUGAUCAUCUUGUAUCCAAGAAGUAUUUCUCUCAAGUUCUCCUAAUUACAGAUUCAGCAGCGGGUCUAUUGUGACUCCUGAUUUUAGAGUGCAUUCUACCUGACACGCAGUUUCUCUUACAGUAACCAGGUACCCAUUGUGCUGUGAUUGUGGUAGUAGCAUGGACUGGAGAAAUUUGAUGAUGUGUUGAAUGCUAGUCAUUUCCUCAGAAAAAUGGCCAGGCGUGGUUCCAUUUGCAGGGGUGGCUGUGUUUCAUCUCACAUCAUCCACUUACCCUGGCCAAAGCGAGUUGAACCAGAGUCACCACCAGACCCAAAGACAGCCAUGUAUAGGCCAGCAGCUCUGCCUAGUGGGAACCACAUUUAUCAAUGGUCCACCCAAUCUGCAACACAUGAUGUCCUGAUGACUUCCUCUCUCCUGGCACUCUGUCUGCUCUUCCCUCUCCUAACGCCCUCGCAGCCAUCCUUCAAGGUACUAUCCAGGCUUGCUUUCUCUGGCUCCCACACUGUCUUUCACGGGGAUAUCAUGAAAGCCCUUAUGGUGUCUUUGCUAGAAUUGGGAAAACACACCCCUCUCAUGUAAAAUAGUCUUAUUUAAUGCAUUAACCUCAUUGCACACCUGCACACGC